AUUGAACGCUGGCGGCAGGCCUAACACAUGCAAGUCGAGCGGUUGAAGGGAGCUUGCUCCUGGAUUCAGCGGCGGACGGGUGAGUAAUGCCUAGGAAUCUGCCUGGUAGUGGGGGAUAACGUCCGGAAACGGGAGCUAAUACCGCAUACGUCCUGAGGGAGAAAGUGGGGGAUCUUCGGACCUCACGCUAUCAGAUGAGCCUAGGUCGGAUUAGCUAGUUGGUGGGGUAAAGGCCUACCAAGGCGACGAUCCGUAACUGGUCUGAGAGGAUGAUCAGUCACACUGGAACUGAGACACGGUCCAGACUCCUACGGGAGGCAGCAGUGGGGAAUAUUGGACAAUGGGCGAAAGCCUGAUCCAGCCAUGCCGCGUGUGUGAAGAAGGUCUUCGGAUUGUAAAGCACUUUAAGUUGGGAGGAAGGGCAGUAAGUUAAUACCUUGCUGUUUUGACGUUACCAACAGAAUAAGCACCGGCUAACUUCGUG
Molecule: ribosomal RNA, 484 nt
Filed under: uncultured bacterium
Lineage: Bacteria
Description: partial 16S ribosomal RNA
Rfam family: Bacterial small subunit ribosomal RNA
Source: RNAcentral